This 306-nucleotide ribosomal RNA is filed under the name uncultured bacterium. RNAcentral describes it as "bacterial SSU rRNA". It matches the Rfam family "Bacterial small subunit ribosomal RNA", at positions 189 to 507 of the family's 1533-position model. The record is from RNAcentral.
AUGAUACAAUGGUCAAAGGAGCAAUCCGCUGACAGGAUGGACUCGCGUCUGAUUAGGAUAGUUGGUGAGGUAACGGCUCACCAAGUCGACGAUCAGUAGCCGGGACUGAGAGGUUGAACGGCCACAUUGGGACUGAGACACGGCCCAGGACUCCUACGGGAGGCAGCAGUGAGGGAUAUUGCACAAUGGGCGAAAGCCUGAUGCAGCAACGCCGCGUGAGGGAUGACGGUUUUCGGAUUGUAAACCUCUGUCUUCAGUGACGAAUCAAUGACGGUAACUGAGGAGGAAGCCACGGCUAACUACGUG